UAACAAGUCAGACAUCCAGCAGGUGCCCGC
Molecule: non-coding RNA, 30 nt
Filed under: Rattus norvegicus (Norway rat)
Lineage: Eukaryota; Metazoa; Chordata; Mammalia; Rodentia; Muridae
Source: RNAcentral